This 90-nucleotide microRNA precursor is filed under the name Saccoglossus kowalevskii. Its description in RNAcentral is "microRNA sko-mir-4831 precursor". Lineage: Eukaryota; Metazoa; Hemichordata; Enteropneusta; Harrimaniidae. The record is from miRBase by way of RNAcentral.
CCUUUGCGUGUUCUAGUGUCAGCAGAGUACAUCUUGCUGUAAAUGAGAAGUUAAUGUAUUUCGGCAAAUUGUACUCUCGCUAACAACUGG